Molecule: long non-coding RNA, 538 nt
Filed under: Prunus persica (peach)
Lineage: Eukaryota; Viridiplantae; Streptophyta; Magnoliopsida; Rosales; Rosaceae
Description: long non-coding RNA (PPER_LNC000289)
Source: RNAcentral
UUAAAUUAAACAAUACAUAGUUGUGGAAUGUAUGAGUGUCGUACUAUAUUUUUUCUCAAAAAUAAUAAAAUAUGAAGGACCCUAAAAUAUAGCCCUGCAUGGCUGAAGAUGGAAAAAUUUAGCACUGCAUUAUUCUUUAAAAAAUUAAUAUUUUGGGGGGCUAAAUUUUUAGCCCUAGACUCCAUUUUGCCCUAUAACUGGAGAUGGCCCUAUGAUCUAAAUCGGAACUUGGAGUCCAAAUCAGUAAAGGCUGGAUAACAAGAUAUGUCUCUUGAUUAGUGAUUUGGGCUAUUGUGUAUGUCUGCAACUAGUUUCAUCUUGUUAUUUUCCUUUGUAAUAAAUUCAAAUGUCAAUUCAAUUCAUGUUCUUAUUGCACUAGAUAAACUGUGAAGUCCAAGGCAUAAAAAUGAACCAAUAUCGAGCCAGUUCUCCAUUCAUAACACAAUAGUUUGAUUUUUUUAUAUAUUCAGAUUACGUACGUAAGGCGCAAGUUAUUUAAUCUCUCAAUCUAUUUGAAUCUUUUCAAUGCUAAUAGUGC